Molecule: ribosomal RNA, 395 nt
Filed under: uncultured bacterium
Lineage: Bacteria
Description: bacterial SSU rRNA
Rfam family: Bacterial small subunit ribosomal RNA
Source: RNAcentral
GACGAACGCUGGCGGCGUGCUUAAUACAUGCAAGUCGAGCGAGGUCCAUCUGGUGGCAACACCAGUGAAGGCCGAGCGGCGAACGGGUGAGUAACACGUGAGCAACCUGCCCCGAAGUCUGGAAUAACAUCGGGAAACCGGUGCUAAUACCGGAUCGCCCCACCUGACCGCAUGAUCGGGUGAGGAAAGAUUUAUCGCUUCGGGAGGGGCUCGCGGCCUAUCAGCAGUUGGUGGGGUAACGGCCUACCAAGGCACCGACGGGUAGCUGGUCUGAGAGGACGACCAGCCACACUGGGACUGAGACACGGCCCAGACUCCUACGGGAGGCAGCAGUAGGGAAUCUUGCGCAAUGGGCGAAAGCCUGACGCAGCAACGCCGCGUGGGGGAUGACGGCC